UCUGAAGUAUUGGGCAUUUUCUGGCGUCCAAGCUUUGAGUGCAAGACUGCAAGGUUUAGUGAUUGGUUGCAUUGCACCCAUUCAUCCAUCUAUUUCAAAGCUAACAAACUUAUAAUUUGAUGAGCUAAGGUACCUAUCAUUUGUAGGGAGUGGUUUCAUAUGGACGUUUCAAUGAUUUGAUGUCAUGUGGACAUUUGAAUGAUUUGAUGUAAGAGUCGUCUAACUAUGAAUAAAUUUUUUAAAAGAACAAAAAAAAAGCAGCAAUUCUCUUGGACCACCACAAAACACAACCUCCAUUUCUUGCUAGUCACACUCCAUACAUUUUGGAGGAGCCAAACCCCAAAAGCAACCCAAACCCUAUGAGAAUCCCCCCAGCAAUGGAGUCCAUAUGUGUCCUCCUACCAAUCCCAAUGUCCCCUUACUUAGAACAAGAGCUCGAGAAGCGCUUCAACCUCUUGAAGCUUUGGACCGCUCCCCACAAGACCCAGUUCAUCAAGGACCACGCCGCCUCCAUCCGCGCCAUCGUCGGCAACGCCUCCGCCGGCGCCGACGCCGAGUUGAUCGACUCUCUGCCCAAGUUGGAGAUCGUCGCCAGUUACAGCGUUGGGAUUGACAAGGUCGACUUGAAGUACUGCAAGGAAAAGGGUGUGAGGGUCACUAACACCCCCGACGUGUUGACCGAUGACGUGGCCGACAUUGCUAUUGGGUUGACGCUGGCGGUGAUGCGCCGGCUUUGCGAGAGUGACCGGUAUGUCAGGAGUGGGCUGUGGAAGAAGGGUGACUUCAAGUUGACCACAAAGGUUACAUUUUCUCUUUUCUUGAUCACUGUUUUAUUGGUUGUGAACUUUUGGAUAUUGUCACUUUGCUUCAAAUCAGUAGUCAGGGGUAGGAAUAGUGUUUGUGCAAAAUAGUUGUGGGUCAAUGUUGCUCACCGAAGAUAUCUGCAUUGCUCAUACCAAUAUGUGUGUUACUAGGCUUUUCAUUUUCGUCCAUGAACUAUAACUGUUCUGAUGUUAGGAUGAUAUCAACCCAGCAGGCAGCAAGAAAUAUGAUAGUGUUGGUUGAUAUAGGGGUCUAUGAUGUACAUUUGAUUUGUGAAGAAAUCCUGGGUUUGUUUGGACUUUGGAGUGGAUUCUGCAUUGCUUUGUGUAAUGUAUGAAAAGGAGAAUGCAAAGUAGUUUUAGUGGGAACCAAGUUCUUGAAAUUACAUGCUAUGGUUGGUGCUUGUUUCUCUGUAUCCUGUGAAAAGGGGAUUGGUAUAGGUUGAACUGGGCAUUUCUCUUAUCAUUGUACUCUUCUGGUGCUGUUUUGUGUCGUUGCUACUGUUGUGGAUUUUUGAGUGCUCAAGCGUUGGUGAAGUUACCUCUGCAUUUCUACCUUUCAUGUAAAAUAAUGUGCCUAUUUGGAUUUAGGACUUUGGAGUUUUUCUUUUAGCUUCGUUUGUGCUAUAUAGCCAUGUAAAGCAAUUAGAACCAUAAGAUGGCAAGUCUUUACGAUUACGAUUUCUAGAUGCUCUAGGUGUUCUUAAGGUAUUUGUUUGUAAAAUAUUUCUGGUAGAUAUUAGUGUGAUUUAUUGAUAGUUUCAAAUUACUUGUCUAUGAUUAUGACGGCCAGUUGAAUAUUUGAACUGGAGAUAGUCGUAGCUUUAAUAUGAAAUGUGAAGUUCUUCAAAUGGCAGCAGGAAAAAAAAAAACAUAUAUAGUUUUGUUUUACCUUUUAGUCUUCCUGGUAUAGAUUGUUACCCCUUUUCUAAUAGUUUUCUUUUCGUUUCAGUUCACUGGACAAACAGUUGGUAUUCUCGGUUUGGGAAGAAUUGGCAAAGCAGUUGCCAGGAGAGCUGAGGCUUUCAGCUGCCCCAUUGCCUACUCUUCCAGAACAGAAAAACCAGAAUUGAAAUACAAGUAUUAUCCGACUGUUGUGGAAUUGGCUUCCAAAUGUGAUGUUCUAGUUGUUGCGUGCGCACUUACUGAAGAGACCCGCUACAUUAUCAAUCGUGAAGUCAUUGAUGCUUUGGGGCCAAAGGGUGUUCUCAUUAACAUUGGGAGGGGUCAUCAUAUUGAUGAGCCUGAGUUGUUAUCUGCACUGCUAGAAGGCCGAUUAGGUGGAGCUGGCCUCGAUGUGUAUCAGAAUGAACCAGAAGUACCGGAGCAGCUGUUUGGGCUUGAAAAUGUGGUGCUCUUGCCUCACGCAGGAAGUGACACUACAGAAACUUGCAAUGCAAUGGCUGACCUUGUUAUUGGGAAUCUUGAGGCUCACUUCUUGAACAAACCAUUGUUAACACCUGUGGUUUAACAGUUUGAGCAUCUGUAUAUAAAGCCCAUGGGAGGUAUCAUUUUGUGUUUCCUUGUAUAAUUUUGUGUUAACCACUUUAUACUAUAUCGAUUUUCCUUUCUUCCGACUUCAUUUGCCUUUUUUUUUUUUUUUUUCCCUUUCUCAUGGCAUGUUGCAUUACAUUUGUGCAGUCAUCUUUUCGUAGCUUCGACUCCUAUGCCGGUAUUGCCCCGAUGGAUGUAGAGAAGUUUGUUCUAUUUUCUUUUUUGGUUGGCUUAAUACAAUAAAAAUCUGCAGCCAUCAUAUAGUGAUACCAACUAUUAAACUAUACCCGGUUAUUAAGAGAAUUAUAUAGCAGAAUAAACACUACGGUGUUAGUGUCAAACCAGUUAUCCCCUUUUGACUUAAAAAAACAUGGAUGGAUUUGCAACAAUUCAAAUUACCCAGAACUUUCUGUUAUUUUAUUUUUUAUUUUUAUUUUUUUAUAAAAUACUGACAAAAGAUUAGGUGAUAUCAGCUCCUCUGUAGCAGUCUGGUGAGUGACAGAGCACCCACUCUACCCUAAAGGAGACCGCUACAACCGGGAACCCACCGCCCGUCCCUUAUCAGAAAUUUUAUUUAAAAUAAUAAAAGAAAUUACGUGAAAAGAGGAAUGGGGGACUAGGCCAAACCAUUCCAAUUACAAACCAAAACAACAUACAAAAAGACAUUGUUUCUUCUACCCAUAAAAAACCAAGCAAUCUUCCCACUAUGAAAACUGAUAAUUAAGGAUACCCAAAUAAUCCGCUUGCAAGAAACCAUGAAGCUCAGUAGGAGGAUUAUCAUACCAAGUAAAUGAAGCAUUUGACAACCCCAAGUUUGCCAUCUUGUCAGCUACCAUAUUUCCUUCUCUAAAAAUAUGACUGUAACGGAAGUUCAUUUGACGAAUUAUAGAAAGACAGUUAUUCCAACGAACUCUUAAGUUCCACGGAGGAGAAAAAAACCUGGAAGAGAAGCAAGCUACCACACUAACAGAGUCACUUUCCAACCAUAAGUAGACCCACCCUUUAUCGUGAGCAAUUUCAAUUGCCAAGAUAACAUCAUAAAGUUCAGAAUAACAGGAAGUCCAUCCAAGCGAAUGACAAAAACUCCCUAAAAACCCACCUGAGGCAUCACGAAACACACCCCCACAAGCUGCUGGACCUGGAUUGCCUUUUGUUAAACCGUCUGUGUUAACUUUGAUCUAAGGAAAAAACCAAGGCUGCCAUAAGACAUGUUGAAUUCUAGGAGCCUUACUACCUUUAGGAGCAACUCCAAGAGAGGCCAAUAAACAGGCAUCAAAAACACCCUUAUAGUGACCAGGAGCAAAAAUGCCAAUUUGACGAAUCCAUGCCAUAAUAGAGCAACACAUUGUAUAGAAAUUUGGGGAUCGAUUAUCAAACCUUAGCUUAUUCCGAGCCUUCCAUAGAGCCAUGAAAGUAAACAUGCUAGCUGCUAGCCACAAAUUAAAAAGCUGCGAGGAGAAAGGCUUUCGAUAGUAGCUCUUCCAAAAAUCUAUCAGGGAGUUGAAAGAAGAUAAAGAAGUGCCAAAUUGAACAGCUAACCAUCUCCAGACCCGUUGGGAAAAAGGGCAUUGUAAAAAUAAAUGCAAUGAUGUCUCACCAGAACAAUAACAUAACUGACAGAUAGUCACAACAGGAAUUCCGCUAAUUUUCACUCUAUCAUCAGUUGGAAGCCGAUCAAAAAGAAUUCUCCAGACAAAAAAAGAGUAACGAGGUGGGAUGAAUGAUCGCCAUACAUUACAAGCCCAAUCUUUGACAGUGUUAUGGUGUUUCAGAAAUUCAUACCCAAUAGAAAAAGUCAACUCACCGGAGGUAGAGGGCUCCCAAAUAAACAUAUCUGACUCAUCAAUAAGAGGGAGUGCCAAAUCUGAAAUCUGCCUAGCCAAGAGCGGAAAAGUUUGGCAAAAGAAGGGAGGAAGCUGCCAUGAACGAUGAGAAAUAUAAAAUCUACGACAUGAAGAUUGCUGAAAUAAGACCAAUUUGAAAUACCCAAAGUCUCCAAAAUAGGAGCUUGAAGCCAUUUAUCCUUCCAAAAACACACAGUUUUACCAUCUCCAAUUAACCAUCGACAAUUUUGUCUAAAACCAGAACCAACCGACCGAAAACCUGGCCAAAUUGAGGAUUUGCGAUAGCCCAGCUUGCAGGCAGAUAGAAUAGGAUACCUGACUGAGAGAAUGAAGAGAUUACUAAAGUAUCACUAGUGAUUUUUACUGCCUUGUUCUCUUUAAACUUGGCCUCCGGAGUCCGGACACACCAAACACAAGCAAGAGAACUAGUACAUGAAACAUUUACAAUAAAUAGACCCUCAUUGUUGUUUUAGUCUAUCCAGCCUUUUUGUGAGAAUAUUGCCUGAAUGUGGAGAAUCAUGGAAUGUAUUUCAAAGAGUUUUGAGUUCCAACUCACCGGAAAAUCUCAAGACAAAGACAUGCACUGUCCAGUUCCAUUUCAGCAAUAUAUGUUUCAUUUUGAUAACAGCUAAGUCAUCUUGUUUGAGGUUUAUUAAUCCUCAUCUUUGAAUAACUUGCUGUUAGAAUGGUCGUUAUUCACACUGUGUUUGAUGAAAUUUUGUAAGAAUGAUCUACACAUUGUGUUUUAGACAUUGUACGGUUGAGACAUAGAAAUACAACCUGAAAGUGAGCCAAAUAAGGAGUCAUGCUCUUUAAUUUCAAAGCGGGAUCCCACUCUGGAAAGGGACCACACACACACACUAUCAUAGCAAAUAAAAACUAUACAUACAUUUUGUCUUGCCUUAACUUUUUUUUGGUUACAAAAUGAUGGCUGGGAGAGCUACCAUUCUGGAACCGGAGCAAUUUUAGGUGGCCUCUCCUCAAAUGAUGUUUUUCACAAAUUAGGGUUCGAACCAAAGACCUCCUAUUAUCAGAGAAUCUUUACAGCUUCUGCCUCAUUUGUAGCCUAACAUGCUUCCACUAGACCGACUAACCUCGUUGGGUGUCUUGUCUAAACUUUACUUACAUGUUUGGUUUGCUCAUUAUCUCCGUGGAAUGUAUCAAAAUGAUAAAGCAUAAGCAUGCCCAUCUGUACAUGCAUCUCCUCUUGAUGGCUAAAUAACAUUUUUCCUCCUGUGUGUCCUUCUUAUAGUUGUGCAAGAUAGAGUAGUAAAGUCUACAAGAUUCCAUAUAAGUAAAUAUAGGAUAAAGUAUACUUGUUAAAUUUAAAAUAUUCGAUAUAUAGAUUAUGAGUACAUGAUGCAUAUUGAGUUUGUGUUUUGAGAUGAAAAUGGGAAUCCGUUAAUAGUUGCUAUGAGCGUAUUGAAGAUACUUCGGUGUCUAUGGGUGAAACUACUAGCUUUAAAGAGUCAUUACACACAACGUGGUUAUAACAAUUCUCUCAUGCAGUGGUGGAAGGUGACUCAAAAAGCUUCUUAUAUACAAUCUGAAUGGAAAAACUAUGGCACCCUAAUGCAUUCAAUCUUUAAUCCAAGAUAUCUAGUGGCUAGCAUCUCAUUUUCAAGUUGUGUACUUUCGACAUAUUCACCAUGAAGCUAACUUUGUGACAGACCGUCUAGUCUCCGUGAGAAUUGCAUCGUCGACUCUUGUAGUUUAGUUUUACUGCUUACCUUUUUUUACUGCUUAAAUUUUUAUUGUUCUGAAAGAUUCCUCUGUUCUUAUAUAAUCAAUAAUUCAGCCGAGCUUUAAUCCCUUUUAUCCUACACGGCCGACGGCGACAUUUGCAUUUGUCGUUUCUCGCUGAUCACCACAAACACACCUACCAUUUUUAGUCAGAGUCUCUCUGCCACUUCACAAUAAACUCCACCUUCACAAAUCACAGCCUCUCCAAACCUUUGGGAGUCGCUGCAAUCCAAAAGCAAUCCCAACCCAGAUUCCAAAACCACCCCUAACAAUGGAGUCCAUAGGUGUCCUCCUACCAAUCCCAAUGUCCCCUUACUUGGAACAAGAGCUCGAGAAGCGCUUCAACCUCUUGAAGCUUUGGACCGCUCCCCACAAGACCCAGUUCAUCAAGGACCACGCCGCCUCCAUCCGCGCCAUCGUCGGCAACGCCUCCGCCGGCGCCGACGCCGAGUUGAUCGACUCUCUGCCCAAGUUGGAGAUCGUCGCCAGUUACAG
This 6397-nucleotide long non-coding RNA is filed under the name Fragaria vesca (wild strawberry). RNAcentral describes it as "long non-coding RNA (FVES_LNC002902)". The record is from RNAcentral. Lineage: Eukaryota; Viridiplantae; Streptophyta; Magnoliopsida; Rosales; Rosaceae.